Molecule: long non-coding RNA, 2971 nt
Filed under: Homo sapiens (human)
Lineage: Eukaryota; Metazoa; Chordata; Mammalia; Primates; Hominidae
Description: HSALNT0357890
Source: RNAcentral
ACCGACUCUCUUUUCGGACUCAGUCCGCCUGCACCCGGGUGAAAUAAACAGCCAUGUUGCUCACACAAAGCCUGUUUGGUGGUCUCUUCACACGGACGUGCAUGAAAUUUGGUGCCGUGACUCGGAUCGGGGGACCUCCCUUGGGAGAUCAAUCCCCUGUCCUCCUGUUCUUUGCUCCACGAGAAAGAUCCACCUACGACCUCAGGUCCUCAGACUGACCAGCCCAAGGAACAUCUCACCAAUUUUAAAUCAGCCACUCCCAGAGCCCCUGGAACUCUGGCCCAAGGCUGACUGACUCCUUCCCAGAUCUUCUCGGCUUAGCGGCUGAAGACUGACACUGCUUGAUCGCCUCGGAAGCCCCCUAGACCAUCACAGACGCCGAGCUUCCGGUAACUCUCACAGUGGAAGGUAAGCCCGUCCCCUUCUUAAUCAAUACGGAGGCUACCCACUCCACAUUACCUUCUUUUCAAGGGCCUGUUUCCCUUGCCUCCAUAACUGUUGUGGGUAUUGACGGCCAGGCUUCUAAACCUCUUAAAACUCCCCAACUCUGGUGCCAACUUAGACAAUACUCUUUUAAGCACUCCUUUUUAGUUAUCCCCACCUGCCCAGUUCCCUUAUUAGGCUGAGACACUUUAACUAAAUUGUCUGCUUCCCUGACUAUUCCUGGACUACAGCUAUAUCUCAUUGCCGCCCUUCUUCCCAAUCCAAAGCCUCCUUUGCGUCCUCCUCUUGUAUCCCCCCACCUUAACCCACAAGUAUAAGAUACCUCUACUCCCUCCUUGGCGACCAAUCAUGCACCCGUUACCAUCUCAUUAAAACCUAAUCACCCUUACCCCACUCAACGCCAAUAUCCCAUCCCGCAGCAUGCUUUAAAAAGAUUAAAGCCUGUUAUCACUUGCCUGCUACAGCAUGGCCUUUUAAAGCCUAUAAACUCUCCUUACAAUUCCCCCAUUUUACCUGUCCUAAAACCGGACGAGCCUUACAAGUUAGUUCAGGAUCUGCGCCUUAUCAACCAAAUUGUUUUGCCUAUCCACCCCGUAGUGCCAAACCCAUAUACUCUCCUAUCCUCAGUACCUGCCUCUAUAACCUAUUAUUCUGUUCUAGAUCUCAAACAUGCUUUCUUUACUAUUCCUUUGCACCCUUAAUCCCAGCCUCUCUUCACUUUCACUUGGACUGACCCUGACACCCAUCAAGCUCAGCAAGUUACCUAGGCUGUACUGCCGCAAAGCUUCACAGACAGCCCCUAUUACUUCAAUCAAGCCCAAAUUUCUUCCUCAUCUGUUACCUAUCUCAGCAUAAUUCUCAUAAAAACACACGUGCUCUCCCUGCCAAUCAUGUCCGACUAAUCUCUCAAACCCAAGCACCUUCUACAAAACAACAACUCCUUUCCUUCCUAGGCAUGGUUAGCGUGGUCAGAAUUCUUACACAAGAGCCAGGACCGCACCCUGUAGCCUUUCUGUCCAAACAACUUGACCUUACUGUUUUAGCCUAGCCCUCAUGUCUGCGUGCAGCGGCUCCCGCUGCUUUAAUACUUUUAGAGGCCCUCAAAAUCACAAACUAUGCUCAACUCACUCUCUACAGUUCUCAUAACUUCCAAAAUCUAUUUUCUUCCUCAUACCUGACGCACAUACUUUCUGCUCCCCGGCUCCUUCAGCUGUACCCACUCUUUGUUGAGUCUCCCACAAUUACCGUUGUUCCUGGCCCAGACUUCAAUCCGGCCUCCCACGUUAUUCCUGAUACCACACCUGACCCCCAUGACUGUAUCUCUCUGAUCCAUCUGACAUUCACCCCAUUUCCCCAAAUUUCCUUCUUUCCUCUUCCUCACCCUGAUCACGCUUGAUUUAUUGUUGGCGGUUCCACCAGGCCUAAUCACCACACACCAGCAAAGGCAGGUUAUGCUAUAGUACAAGCCACUAGCCUGCCUCUUAGAACCUCUCAUUUCCUUUCCAUCGUGGAAAUCGAUCCUCAAGGAAAUAACUUCUCAGUGUUCCAUCUGCUAUUCUAGUACUCCUCAGGGAUUAUUCAGGCCCCCUUCCUUCCCUACACACCAAGCUCAAGGAUUUGCCCCACCCAGGACUGGCAAAUUAGCUUUACUCAACAUGCCCUGAGUCAGAUAACUAAAAUACCUCUUAGUCUAGGUAGAUACUUUCACUGGAUAGGUAGAGGCCUUUCCUACAGGGUCUGAGAAGGCCACCGCAGUCAUUUCUUCCCUUCUGUCAGACAUAAUUCCUCAGUUUAGCCUUCCCACCUCAAUACAGUCUGAUAACAGACAAGCAUUUAUUAGUCAAAUCAGCCAAGCAGUUUUUCAGGCUCUUAGUAUUCAGUGAAACCUUUAUGUCCCUUAUGGUCCUCUGUCUUCAAGAAAAGUAGAAUGGACUAAAGGUCUUUUAAAAACACACUCAGCCACCAACUUAAAAAGGACUGGACAAUACUUUUACCACUUUCCCUUCUCAGAAUUCAGGCCUGUCCUCGGAAUGCUGCAGGGUACAGCGCAUUUGAGCUCCUGUAUAGACACUCCUUUUUAUUAGGCCCCAGUCUCAUUCCAGACACCAGACCAACUUACACUGUGCCGCAAAAAACUUGUCAUCCCUACUAUCUUCUGUCUAGUCAUACUCCUAUUCACCAUUCUCAACUACUCAUACAUGCCCUGCUCUUGUUUACACUGCCGGUUUACACUGUUUUUCCAUGCCAUCACAGCUGAUAUCUCCUGGUGCUAUCCCCAAACUGCCACUCUUAACUCUUGAAGUAAAUAAAUAAUCUUUGCUGGCAGGACUAUGCUGAAUCUCCUUAGGCACUCUCUAAUCAGAUAUCCUGAGUCGUCCCAAUUCUUAGACCUUUUAUACCUGUUUUUCUCCUUCCUUUAUUCCAUUUAGUUUCUCAAUUCAUCCAAAUCCAUAUCUAGGCCAUCACCAAUCAUUCUAUAUGACAAAUGUUUCUUCUAACAUCCCCACAAUAUCACCCCUUACCACAA